GAGAUUAGAGUUUGAUCCUGGCUCAGAACGAACGUUGGCGGCGUGGAUUAGGCAUGCAAGUCGAACGAAUCCCUGGGGGCUUGCUCCCAGGGGGAAGUGGCGAAAGGGGCAGUAAGGCGUGGGUAACCUACCCCGGGGACCGGGAUAGCCACCCUAACGGGUGGGUAAUACCGGGCGAUGUGACGAGAUCGCCUGACCUUGUCACGAAACGAGUUUCGCCUCGGGAGGGGCUCACGUGGUAUUAGCUUGUUGGUAGGGUAACGGCCUACCAAGGCCAAGAUGCCUAGCGGGUGUGAGAGCACGACCCGCGCCACUGGCACUGAGACACUGGCCAGACUCCUACGGGAGGCUGCAGUCGAGGAUCUUCGGCAAUGGGCGCAAGCCUGACCGAGCGACGCCGCGUGCGCGAUGAAGGCCUUCGGGUUGUAAAGCGCUGUCGAGGGGGAGGAAGCCCCGCAAGGGGUUGACCUAUCCCUGGAGGAAGCACGGGCUAAGUUCGUGCCAGCAGCCGCGGUAAGACGAACCGUGCGAACGUUGUUCGGAAUCACUGGGCUUAAAGGGCGCGUAGGCGGGCUGUUUAGUCUGGGGUGAAAUCUUUCGGCUUAACCGGAAAAGUGCCUCGGAUACUGGCAGUCUUGAGGGAGGUAGGGGCAGGUGGAACUUCCGGUGGAGCGGUGAAAUGCGUUGAUAUCGGAAGGAACGCCGGUGGCGAAAGCGGCCUGCUGGAUCUCUUCUGACGCUGAGGCGCGAAAGCUAGGGGAGCGAACGGGAUUAGAUACCCCGGUAGUCCUAGCCCUAAACGAUGGGUACUAGGUAGCGGACUUAACAUGGGUUCGCUGCCGAAGCAAAAGUGAUAAGUACCCCGCCUGGGGAGUAUGGUCGCAAGGCUGAAACUCAAAGGAAUUGACGG
Molecule: ribosomal RNA, 910 nt
Filed under: uncultured bacterium
Lineage: Bacteria
Description: bacterial SSU rRNA
Rfam family: Bacterial small subunit ribosomal RNA
Source: RNAcentral